GAUGAACGCUGGCGGCGUGCCUAAUACAUGCAAGUCGAGCGAACAGACGAGGAGCUUGCUCCUCUAACGUUAGCGGCGGACGGGUGAGUAACACGUGGAUAACCUACCUAUAAGACUGGGAUAACUUCGGGAAACCGGAGCUAAUACCGGAUAAUAUUUUGAACCGCAUGGUUCAAAAGUGAAAGACGGUCUUGCUGUCACUUAUAGAUGGAUCCGCGCUGCAUUAGCUAGUUGGUAAGGUAACGGCUUACCAAGGCAACGAUGCAUAGCCGACCUGAGAGGGUGAUCGGCCACACUGGAACUGAGACACGGUCCAGACUCCUACGGGAGGCAGCAGUAGGGAAUCUUCCGCAAUGGGCGAAAGCCUGACGGAGCAACGCCGCGUGAGUGAUGAAGGUCUUCGGAUCGUAAAACUCUGUUAUUAGGGAAGAACAUAUGUGUAAGUAACUGUGCACAUCUUGACGGUACCUAAUCAGAAAGCCACGGCUAACUACGUGCCAGCAGCCGCGGUAAUACGUAGGUGGCAAGCGUUAUCCGGAAUUAUUGGGCGUAAAGCGCGCGUAGGCGGUUUUUUAGUCUGAUGCGAAAGCCCACGGCUCAACCGUGGAGGGUCAUUGGAAACUGGAAAACUUGAGUGCAGAAGAGGAAAGUGGAAUUCCAUGUGUAGCGGUGAAAUGCGCAGAGAUAUGGAGGAACACCAGUGGCGAAGGCGACUUUCUGGUCUGUAACUGACGCUGAUGUGCGAAAGCGUGGGGAUCAAACAGGAUUAGAUACCCUGGUAGUCCACGCCGUAAACGAUGAGUGCUAAGUGUUAGGGGGUUUCCGCCCCUUAGUGCUGCAGCUAACGCAUUAAGCACUCCGCCUGGGGAGUACGACCGCAAGGUUGAAACUCAAAGGAAUUGACGGGGACCCGCACAAGCGGUGGAGCAUGUGGUUUAAUUCGAAGCAACGCGAAGAACCUUACCAAAUCUUGACAUCCUUUGACAACUCUAGAGAUAGAGCCUUCCCCUUCGGGGGACAAAGUGACAGGUGGUGCAUGGUUGUCGUCAGCUCGUGUCGUGAGAUGUUGGGUUAAGUCCCGCAACGAGCGCAACCCUUAAGCUUAGUUGCCAUCAUUAAGUUGGGCACUCUAAGUUGACUGCCGGUGACAAACCGGAGGAAGGUGGGGAUGACGUCAAAUCAUCAUGCCCCUUAUGAUUUGGGCUACACACGUGCUACAAUGGACAAUACAAAGGGCAGCGAAACCGCGAGGUCAAGCAAAUCCCAUAAAGUUGUUCUCAGUUCGGAUUGUAGUCUGCAACUCGACUACAUGAAGCUGGAAUCGCUAGUAAUCGUAGAUCAGCAUGCUACGGUGAAUACGUUCCCGGGUCU
This 1371-nucleotide ribosomal RNA is filed under the name uncultured bacterium. Its description in RNAcentral is "bacterial SSU rRNA". It matches the Rfam family "Bacterial small subunit ribosomal RNA", at positions 28 to 1381 of the family's 1533-position model. The record is from RNAcentral.